AACGCACAUUGCGCCCCCUGGUAUUCCGGGGGGCACACCUGUUCGAGCGCCAUUUCUACCCUAGAGCCCUGCUCUGUGAUGGGCCUCGUCCUCGCGGACGGGCCCGAAACCCGUGGGCGCCGUCGUCCGGCCCUGAGCGUAGCAAGAGAAAUCCCUCGCUCGGAGUGUCUGGUGGUGGCUGCCCCGACCUAUUUUUACAAGGUUGGCCUCGGAUCAGGUGGGGAUACCCGCUGAACUUAA
Molecule: unclassified non-coding RNA, 240 nt
Filed under: uncultured Venturia
Lineage: Eukaryota; Fungi; Ascomycota; Dothideomycetes; Venturiales; Venturiaceae
Description: sequence contains ITS2
Source: RNAcentral